Molecule: ribosomal RNA, 486 nt
Filed under: uncultured bacterium
Lineage: Bacteria
Description: partial 16S ribosomal RNA
Rfam family: Bacterial small subunit ribosomal RNA
Source: RNAcentral
AUUGAACGCUGGCGGCAGGCUUAACACAUGCAAGUCGAGCGGAAACGAUGUAGCUUGCUACAGGCGUCGAGCGGCGGACGGGUGAGUAACGCGUAGGAAUCUGCCUAGUAGUGGGGGACAACAUGUGGAAACGCAUGCUAAUACCGCAUACGCCCUACGGGGGAAAGGAGGGGAUCUUCGGACCUUUCGCUAUUAGAUGAGCCUGCGUAAGAUUAGCUAGUUGGUAGGGUAAAGGCCUACCAAGGCGACGAUCUUUAACUGGUCUGAGAGGAUGGCCAGUCACCGUGGAAGUGAGCCACGGCCCGGCCCCUUGGGGGGGCCGGCAUGGGGGAAGUUGGGACAAGGGGGGAAGGCUGGACACAGCCAGGCGGGGUGGGGGAAGAAGGCGUUGGGUUUUUAAACCAUUUUGGGGGGGGGGGAGGGGGUUUUGUUUAAUAUCAAAACUUUUUGACGUUCCCCAAAAAAGAAGCCCGGGCUAACUCUGUC